This 89-nucleotide transfer RNA is filed under the name Rattus norvegicus (Norway rat). It matches the Rfam family "tRNA". Rfam says of the family: Transfer RNA (tRNA) molecules are approximately 80 nucleotides in length. Their secondary structure includes four short double-helical elements and three loops (D, anti-codon, and T loops). The record is from Rfam by way of RNAcentral. Lineage: Eukaryota; Metazoa; Chordata; Mammalia; Rodentia; Muridae.
CCUUCGAUAGCUCAGUUGGUAGAGCGGAGGACUGUAGUUCGUGUGAUAUGGCAAUCCUUAGGUCGCUGGUUCGAUUCCGGCUCGAAGGA